Molecule: long non-coding RNA, 5512 nt
Filed under: Mytilus galloprovincialis (Mediterranean mussel)
Lineage: Eukaryota; Metazoa; Mollusca; Bivalvia; Mytilida; Mytilidae
Source: RNAcentral
CUCGUGUUUGGACAAUAUUUUUUGAAGUGUUUCUGUUAAAUUUGGAUUAUUAAUUUCGAUGUGGUUUUAAAAGCUUGGAAUAAUAUUGCGAAAAGGUAAGUUGGAGUGUAAAUAUAUUUUUCAUAGUUGCACUUUCAAUCUUUAUUAAAUUUGUUAUUGAUUUGACCCAGAUAAGUACCGUGUCGUGACCCUUUACCUGCUAAAGUUUGUAAACAAUGUACACACAUGAUUGAGCGUACAAGUGUCGAAGUACCUAUAUAUUGACAAAGACACACACACACACACUACAUCUACUAAUAUAUCUGGAUACCCACAUUAACAUUCAUAGAUAUUAAUAAUUAUUGUACAAACAAACAAAUUCUGCACAUACAGUCAUACUUGUUCAGUGUCACAUGAUACAUUUUACAAACAAAUUUCUUUCCAUAACUUUCACACAUACUCAUACCUUAGGCAUAGCACUUACAGAUAAUUACUUGCAUAGUACAUUUAUAAUAAAGGAAAAAAAAUCACAUACAAUCACACAUAAUCUAGAUCUAUACUAUAGCAUCUGUUGGUUUUUUUACUAUACAUGUAGCUUAAGUUAACUAUAAAAUGACUUCAUUAUUAUUCUUCAAAAUAUUCAACACCUUUGUUAAUAAACUGCUGAUCUCUAUAUUGGUCAUACUAUAUAAUUCUACAGUAUUUUCUACCUCAUAUUCAAAAAUUUUAAUGUGUCUACUGCUUUGGUUUUUUUUUAUUGGAAACAUAAUGUGUUUUAUAGACUGAAAAGAACAUUAAGCUAAGCAAAUGAUUUAGCGCAUAGUAUGCAUCGUCAUGAAUUUUGUAUCCUAUAAACAAUCAAUGAAUGAAGACUUAUACAUGUUCGCCUAUGAAGACUUUUUUAAGUAAAACUUUCAUUGAUUUCCAGAAUGUUUUAUGAUAUGAACAUGUAAUGAAAAAAUGAUUAUAAUUAUCUAUUUCAUUGCAAUAUGAACACAAAUUGUUUUGUGAAAUUUUCCACUGAAAAAGCAGCACCUCAUUUGGCAAAAUAAAGUGCAUUAAUUUCCACCUAAACAUUUUUAUUUUAUUAUCUUUAAGAUAUUCAAAAUUAAAUUUAAUAGAGUCUUUAAAUUCAUUUAUUAGUCUCCCUUUGCUUAAGACUCUUUCCCAUUUCAAAAAUCCUACUGGUAUUUCUGUUUUUGACACACUUAAUACUAAUUUGUAUAUGUUUUUAGCAUUAAUAGUUAGAACAUCAUUACAAUCUCUAAGUUUAGUUUUUGUUCGGUUGAUGUGGACUUUUGUUUUGAAUGAUUCUUCUGAUUUUAAUUUGUCUGUCCAUUGCUUUGGUAUAGAUUUUUUUAGUUUUGAGUAUUCAGAAAUCCAAUUCCUUUUAUUUCUUAAUUUUGAAGUAAUCAUUUCUUCUGAUAUAUUUCCUCUUUUAUCUAUUAUGUCAUUUAUAUAUAGUAUGUUACUAUCAAUCCAGUUAUCAAAGAACAAACAUUUUCCUUGAAAUUUUAUGAAUUUAUUUCCCCAUAUAACUUGUUUUCUGAUUUCUAAAUAAUUAUUGAUUUGAUCAUGAUGAUUGUUUUCACAAUUAUUUACAUUUAUCCAUGUUUUUAUCAUCUCUUGAUAGAAGGUUGGUGUACUGUUCCAUAUGUUUUUAUCUAGCAAUUUUGUGUUAUUUACAUUCAUCUUGAAAAUAAGAAGGUUUUUUCCGAAUUUAUUAAGGUAUAGUUUUGAUAAUACAGACCAAUUUGCAUUUUCUGAUUCUAAUAUUUUUAUAAUCCAUUUUAAAUGUAUAGAUUUUAUAUAGGAUUCUAUAUCAAUCAUUUUUAACCCCCCUUCUGCGAAGUUUUUUGUUAUUAUUGACCUUUUUUAUUUUAUCUUUUCCUCCGUUCCAAAUGAAUUUAUAUAAGAUUUUAUUUAUAUUUUGUAGAUUUUCUUUAGUAAUGAUACUGUUAGUCGCAAUGUAGGUUAUAUUUGGUAGAAGAAGAGCUUUUACUACUAAUAUUUUUCCAAGUAUUGUUAACUUUCUUUUUGCCCAUCUUUCUACAAGUUUCGUUAAUUUGUCCAACACUUUUUCAAUAUUUAAUGUUUGACACACUCUUUUUUGUCAUACCCAAAAUAUAUUCCAAGGCUUUUGAUUGGUUUGUCGGUCCAAUUUAUAUUUUCAUAUUUAUCUUUUGAACUUUUUAGUCGUCCUAACCAUACCCCUUCAGUUUUAUUUCUAUUUAAGCUUAAGUCCUGAAAAACUUCCAAAUGUUUCAAUUAUACUGAGAGCUAAACUUAUUUCUUUCCUUGACUGAAGAAAAAGUGUUGUAUCGUCAGCUAAUUGACAAAUUUUUAAAUUACAAGAUUUUCCAUCUAAUGUAAUUUUUAUACCUUUAAAAUCUUUAUUACUUCUAAGUCUUAUUGCCAUUAAUUCUACUGUUAUAACAAAAAAAGUAACGCUGAAAUCGGACACCCUUGUCGUAUUCCUCGAUAUAUUUUGAACGGACCUGAGACCCACCCAUUAUUUAAGAUACAUCCCUUAAUGUCGUUAUACAUAGUUUUCACCCAUCUGAUAAAGCUACUUUUAAAUCCAAACCGUUUCAGUGUUUCCGUCAUGAAAGUCCAUUCUAGUGAGUCAAAAGCUUUACUAAAAUCUAAGAAAAGGAUUGCUCCUUCUAUAUUAAAUUUCUCAGAAUAAUCUAUUAUAUCUUGAAUUUGUCUGAUGUUAAAACCAAUAUAUCUAUUUUUAACAUAUCCUGUUUGAUCUAGACUAAUAAUAGAUGGUAGUACUUUUUUAAGUCUCUGAGCUAACACAUAAGCUAAUAGUUUAGUAUCAAUGUUUAAUAAAGUUAUGGGACGAUAAUUAUCUAAUGAAAGAGGAUCAUUCUUUUUAAAAAUUAGUGAAAUUGCACCUUUCUUUUGUGAGUUUGUAAGUUCUUUUUUUUCAUAAUUAUAAUUAAAUACUUUGACAACAAUAUUUUUUAGGCUCGUCCAAAAUUGCCUAUAAAAUUCCACUGUCAGUCCAUCAAGACCAGGGGAUUUAUUAAGCUUCAUUUUAAAAAUUGCAUCAGUGCAUUCAAUUUCUGUUACUUUCCCUUCACAUUGAUUACUAUCUGAAUCUUUAAGCGUUUUUGUUAAUUUUGUUUCAUUAAUAUAUGUUUUAACUUCAUUAUCACAAGGAUUAGUUGACUCAUAAAGUUUUUUUGUAAUAUUUCACUUGUAGAUUUAGAAUUUUAUCUUGAUCAGUUGUUGCGAGCCCAUUUUCAUCAUAUAGUUCAGUUAUAAUCUUUUUUGUUUGACGACUUUUUUCUAGUCCCAAGAAGUAUGCACUAUUUUUUUCCCCUUCUUCGAACCAUUUUACCCUUGAUCUUAUUUUUUGUCCUUUAAUUUUGUCUUUAUAUAAACAACUCUAGAUCAUUUUCCACAAUUCUCAAUUUCUUUUUGUAAUUUAUGAUUUACAUCUGUACCAUUAUUUGCUUUAUUAUUGAGAUCAUUUAGCUGUUUUUCUAGGAUAUUUAUUUUAUCUUUUUUUUAAUUUGGCUUUUUCUUUUACAAUAGUCUAAACUUGCAUCUCUUACCUCUAUUUUCAAAUUGUCCCAUAGUAUCCCUAAAUCAUCACAGUUAAUUGAUUCAUUUUCAUAUCUGUUUAUUAAUUUGUUUAUUUCAUUUACAUAGUCAUCAUUAUUUAAAACACUGGAGUUUAAUUUCCAGUAGCCACGCCCCUUAUUUCCUCUUUCAGUAUUAAUUUUUAAUGAUACUGCAUUAUGGUCAGUUAUUUUCUGUACUAAAGGUCUAAUAUCGCAGCUUUUACAAUUUUUUUUUGUACUUCUUUUGAAAUCAGAAAGUAAUCAAUUCUGGUGGCUUCUGAUCUAUCUUUCCUACACCAAGUAAAUUGCCUUAGAUUUUUAUUUCUACUUCUCCAAAUGUCUGUCAAUUUACAUGAUUUUAUAAGCCCUUUUAAACCUGUUAACUGGUUUAUCAAAUUUUUUAGAGGAUUUAGUUUUAUUUUUUGUAUCAAUUAAUGACCAGAUGUCGUUAAAAUCUCCCCAAGAAUUGUUUGACCUAAUCCAUAUUUAUUUAUAUAUGAUUUAACUGUUUUGAAAAAAACUAUUUCUUUCUCUUGAUCUAUUUGGAGCAUAGAUAUUUACUAGCGUGUAAAUAUUUUCAUUUAUUUCAAUAUUAAUCAAAAUAAAUCUGCCAUCAGAAUCUUUGUGCUCAUCAAUAAUUUUAAAAUUUAUUCUAUCUUUUAUCCAUAUUGCUACUCCGCGUGAAUUACUUGUACCAUCACUUCUGAAAAUGUUUUUACCAAGUUCUUUAGACAAAGUAUCUUGCAUUUGUUUAGUAAAAUGAGUUUCCUGUAUAAAAAGUUAUAUCACAUUUUUGUUGAUUUGCCCAACUUACUAUUUUAUUUAUUUUUUCAGGUUGCUGUAGGCCAUUAGCAUUGACCGUACAAAUAUGCAAAUAGUUUUUCAUGGUGGUUUAUAGUUGGAUAUUUUAAAUUUCAUACAAUAGCAUGGUGAGUUAUCUUUCUUACCAUUAACUAUGAAACGCUUUUUUUUUAUUUUAUAUUUUGUUAUUUUUCUUUGACUGACUUAAAACUAAAUUCUUUUAGUCUUGUUUCUGUACAAGAAGACUUAUUUAUAGGGCAGUUUACAUACUGAUAUAGCAUUUGUUUUACCUGAGAAAUACCGUUAUACGCCUCACUGAUUGCGAUUGGUUUUUCAGAUCGUUGGUAUUUAAACGAUGAAUUUAGGUCUGUGUUUGUUUUUUUCUCAAGUAAUACCGUUUGUUUACUAUCUUCUCUAUGUUUAUAGUCGGUGUAUUCCUGAUUAAUAUUUUAACAGUUUAUUUUCCCGUACCGUAAAAUGUAUUAUGCUAUCGAUCUUUUCCAUAAUUAGCAUUGAUAACCUAUUCUCAUGAUGAUUAUAUUCGUCAAGUAUAUGAUGUUUGUUUUGCAAUAGAUUUAGACUUUCGCUGUCCAGGUACGCUUGCUCUCUACUUUUAGUUUUGUACGUUCUAUAUUUUGACCUCAACGUUAAAGUAUUUAUAGAAUUUCUGGUCAAGGUUAUUUCAUCCGCUUUUGAUGGAGACUUUUUAAGAUGGAUUAAUAUGUUUUCUCGAUCAGGAUAUUUAGUAGCAGAUGGUAAAUACUUUAAUUUAAUAUUAUAGUAACAUGACAUAAAUAUUAUCAUCGACAUGACUAGAUUCUCUAGUACACAAUAAAAAAAACUAAUUGCCACUUUAUUAAAUACACAUACAUUAAUGUACUUUUUAUUUUUAUUUGUCUUUUUCUUUUUCAGGAUAAAACUUUCAUGAAGAACAGACCAUUUAUAAUCUUCAUUAUUGGAAUUGAUUAGACUAUCUGUCAGUCUGAAUAUUUUAAGUGGACAACCUUCAUCAGCUGUGUCACACACAACAUUUUGAGACAUAUCUCGAAUAAUAUAUAUACAGUUAAAAAUAAAUGAAAUCAGUGCUAUACAUACUGUUUUGUGAAAAAUAUGAUUGACAAAAUGCAUUUUUUUUUUUUUUUUAUAAUUUAAAA